RNAcentral lists this ribosomal RNA (470 nucleotides) under uncultured bacterium. RNAcentral describes it as "bacterial SSU rRNA". It matches the Rfam family "Bacterial small subunit ribosomal RNA", at positions 8 to 526 of the family's 1533-position model. The record is from RNAcentral.
AGAGUUUGAUCAUGGCUCAGAACGAACGCUGGCGGCAGGCCUAACACAUGCAAGUCGAACGCACCGCAAGGUGAGUGGCAGACGGGUGAGUAACACGUGGGAACGUGCCCAUCGGAUCGGAAUAACCCAGGGAAACUUGGGCUAAGACCGGAUACGCCCUUUUGGGGAAAGAUUCAUCGCCGAUGGAUCGGCCCGCGUCUGAUUAGCUGGUUGGUGGGGUAACGGCCCACCAAGGCGACGAUCAGUAGCUGGUCUGAGAGGAUGAUCAGCCACACUGGGACUGAGACACGGCCCAGACUCCUACGGGAGGCAGCAGUGGGGAAUAUUGGACAAUGGGCGCAAGCCUGAUCCAGCCAUGCCGCGUGAGUGAUGAAGGCCCUAGGGUUGUAAAGCUCUUUCGCACGCGACGAUAAUGACGGUAGCGUGAGAAGAAGCCCCGGCUAACUUCGUGCCAGCAGCGGCGGUAAUAC